GGAGUCUGGGCCGUAUCUCAGUCCCAAUGUGGCCGAUCACCCUCUCAGGCCGGCUACCGAUCGUCGCCUUGGUGGGCCGUUGCCCCGCCAACUAGCUAAUCGGACGCAAGCUCAUCCCAUACCGAUAAAUCUCUAGUCAACCCUCCAUGCGGAGGGCCACUCUCCUGGACAUUAACCGCGCGUUGGCACGGGUAUGCCCUACUAUGGGGAAGGUUGGAUACGCGUUACUCACCCGUGCGCCGGUCGCCAUCUAUCAAAGCAAGCUUCGAUAAUGCUGCCCCUCGACUUGCAUGUGUUAAGCCUGUAGCUAGCGUUCAUC
This 319-nucleotide ribosomal RNA is filed under the name Fibrobacter succinogenes. RNAcentral's name for it is "partial 16S ribosomal RNA". Lineage: Bacteria; Pseudomonadati; Fibrobacterota; Fibrobacteria; Fibrobacterales; Fibrobacteraceae. The record is from RNAcentral.